RNAcentral lists this ribosomal RNA (494 nucleotides) under uncultured bacterium. RNAcentral's name for it is "bacterial SSU rRNA". It matches the Rfam family "Bacterial small subunit ribosomal RNA", at positions 899 to 1397 of the family's 1533-position model. The record is from RNAcentral.
ACUCAAAGGAAUAGACGGGGACCCGCACAAGCAGCGGAGCAUGUGGUUUAAUUCGAAGCAACGCGAAGAACCUUACCAGGGCUUGACAUCCCUCUGACAGGCGUUUAACAGCGCCCUCCUUCGGGCAGAGGAGACAGGUGGUGCAUGGUUGUCGUCAGCUCGUGUCGUGAGAUGUUGGGUUAAGUCCCGCAACGAGCGCAACCCUUGUCAUUAGUUGCCAUCAUUAAGUUGGGCACUCUAGUGAGACUGCCGGGGAUAACUCGGAGGAAGGUGGGGAUGACGUCAAAUCAUCAUGCCCCUUAUGUUCUGGGCUACACACGUGCUACAAUGGCCGGUACAACAAGAUGCAAUACCGUGAGGAGGAGCAAAUCUCAAAAACCGGCCCCAGUUCGGAUUGUAGGCUGCAACUCGCCUACAUGAAGUCGGAGUUGCUAGUAAUCGCAGAUCAGAAUGCUGCGGUGAAUGCGUUCCCGGGUCUUGUACACACCGCCCGU